RNAcentral lists this ribosomal RNA (50 nucleotides) under uncultured Alteromonas sp. RNAcentral's name for it is "partial 16S ribosomal RNA". The record is from RNAcentral. Lineage: Bacteria; Pseudomonadati; Pseudomonadota; Gammaproteobacteria; Alteromonadales; Alteromonadaceae.
UGGGCGAAAGCCUGAUCCAGCAGCCGCGGUAAUUAUCACUAGUGAAUUCG